AUUGAACGCUGGCGGCAGGCCUAACACAUGCAAGUCGAGCGGGGUUUUCGGACCUAGCGGCGGACGGGUGAGUAAUGCGUAGGAAGCUACCCGACAGAGGGGGAUACCAGUUGGAAACGACUGUUAAUACCGCAUAAUGUCUACGGACCAAAGUGUGGGACCUUCGGGCCACAUGCUGUCGGAUGCGCCUACGUGGGAUUAGCUAGUUGGUGAGGUAAUGGCUCACCAAGGCGACGAUCUUUAGCUGGUCUGAGAGGAUGAUCAGCCACACUGGGACUGAGACACGGCCCAGACUCCUACGGGAGGCAGCAGUGGGGGAAUAUUGGACAAUGGGCGGAAAGACCUGAUCCAGCAAUGCCGCGUGAGUGAUGAAGGCCUUAGGGUUGUUAAAGACUCUUUACCUAGGGAUGAUAAUGACAGUAUCGGGAGGAAU
Molecule: ribosomal RNA, 433 nt
Filed under: uncultured bacterium
Lineage: Bacteria
Description: bacterial SSU rRNA
Rfam family: Bacterial small subunit ribosomal RNA
Source: RNAcentral